UACGAAGGGGGCUAGCGUUGCUCGGAAUUACUGGGCGUAAAGGGCGCGUAGGCGGCACUGUUAGUCAGGCGUGAAAGUCCUGGGCUCAACCUGGGAACUGCGCUUGAUACGGCAGAGCUAGAGGAUGAAAGAGGCUCGCGGAAUUCCCAGUGUAGAGGUGAAAUUCGUAGAUAUUGGGAAGAACACCGGUGGCGAAGGCGGCGAGCUGGUCCAUUACUGACGCUGAGGCGCGACAGCGUGGGGAGCAAACAGG
This 253-nucleotide ribosomal RNA is filed under the name uncultured bacterium. Its description in RNAcentral is "partial 16S ribosomal RNA". It matches the Rfam family "Bacterial small subunit ribosomal RNA", at positions 524 to 776 of the family's 1533-position model. The record is from RNAcentral.